Molecule: ribosomal RNA, 179 nt
Filed under: uncultured bacterium
Lineage: Bacteria
Description: partial 16S ribosomal RNA
Rfam family: Bacterial small subunit ribosomal RNA
Source: RNAcentral
UGAGGAAUAUUGGUCAAUGGGCGGAAGCCUGAACCAGCCAAGUCGCGUGAGGGAAUAAGGCCCUACGGGUCGUAAACCUCUUUGCCGGGGAGCAAGGGCGGGGACGUGUCCCGGCCCGGAGAGUACCCGGAGAAAAAGCAUCGGCUAACUCCGUGCCAGCAGCCGCGUAAUCACUCGCU